Molecule: unclassified non-coding RNA, 225 nt
Filed under: Hevea brasiliensis (rubber tree)
Lineage: Eukaryota; Viridiplantae; Streptophyta; Magnoliopsida; Malpighiales; Euphorbiaceae
Source: RNAcentral
GUGUGGGAUUCAACAAUUCUUUUAUAUGAUUCUCAACUCUCUUCUGAACCAAAGUCGAAGGCAACCGUUCGAUCACUUCAGCUCCGAAAGAAAAUAUUAGAGCCUUCCUCGCUGUCUCUAAGUCGAUGCCACGAGCCUGGAAAUAGAAGAGUUGGGUUUCUUCCAAAUCGCUUAUAGCAGCUCCAUGCGAACACUUGACAUCGUCAGCAAUGAUUUGAAGAUUAG